This 443-nucleotide ribosomal RNA is filed under the name uncultured Alphaproteobacteria bacterium. RNAcentral's name for it is "bacterial SSU rRNA". It matches the Rfam family "Bacterial small subunit ribosomal RNA", at positions 521 to 968 of the family's 1533-position model. The record is from RNAcentral. Lineage: Bacteria; Pseudomonadati; Pseudomonadota; Alphaproteobacteria.
UAAUACGGGAGGGGCAAGCGUUACCCAAAAUUACUGGGCGUAAAGUGUCCGUAGACUGUAAUAUAAGUUUUAUGUUAAAAUUUAAAGUUUAACUUUAAAAAAAUAUAAAAUACUGUUUUACUUGAGUUUUAUACAGAAGAGUAGAAUUUCAUGUUGAAGAGUAAAUUCUAAAAAUACAUGAAGGAAUAUCAAAAGCGAAAGCGACUCUUUAGUACAAACUGACGUUGAGGGACGAAAGUGUAGGGAGCGAACAGGAUUAGAUACCCUGGUAGUCUACGCUGUAAAUUCUGAGUGCUGUAAUUUAAAUUAAAAUUUUAGAUUUUCUAAGCUAACGCCAUAAGCAUUCCGCCUGAGGAGUAUGAUCGCAAGAUUGGAACUCAAGGAAUUGACGGAGCCUACAACGAGUGGUGGAGCAUGUGGUUAAUGCGAUAAUCCGCGCAAAA